This 910-nucleotide ribosomal RNA is filed under the name uncultured bacterium. RNAcentral describes it as "bacterial SSU rRNA". It matches the Rfam family "Bacterial small subunit ribosomal RNA", at positions 9 to 946 of the family's 1533-position model. The record is from RNAcentral.
GAGUUUGAUCAUGGCUCAGGAUGAACGCCGACAGAAUGCUUAACACAUGCAAGUUUACUUGAUCCUUCGGGUGAAGGUGGCGGACGGGUGAGUAACGCGUAAAGAACUUGCCUUACAGACUGGGACAACAUUUGGAAACGAAUGCUAAUACCGGAUAUUAUGAUUGGGUCGCAUGAUCUGAUUAUGAAAGCUAUAUGCGCUGUGAGAGAGCUUUGCGUCCCAUUAGUUAGUUGGUGAGGUAACGGCUCACCAAGACGAUGAUGGGUAGCCGGCCUGAGAGGGUGAACGGCCACAAGGGGACUGAGACACGGCCCUUACUCCUACGGGAGGCAGCAGUGGGGAAUAUUGGACAAUGGACCAAAAGUCUGAUCCAGCAAUUCUGUGUGCACGAUGAAGUUUUUCGGAAUGUAAAGUGCUUUCAGUUGGGAAGAAGUCAGUGACGGUACCAACAGAAGAAGCGACGGCUAAAUACGUGCCAGCAGCCGCGGUAAUACGUAUGUCGCAAGCGUUAUCCGGAUUUAUUGGGCGUAAAGCGCGUCUAGGCGGCUUAGUAAGUCUGAUGUGAAAAUGCGGGGCUCAACCCCGUAUUGCGUUGGAAACUGCUAAACCAGAGUACUGGAGAGGUAGGCGGAACUACAAGUGUAGAGGUGAAAUUCGUAGAUAUUUGUAGGAAUGCCGAUGGGGAAGCCAGCCUACUGGACAGAUACUGACGCUAAAGCGCGAAAGCGUGGGUAGCAAACAGGAUUAGAUACCCUGGUAGUCCACGCCGUAAACGAUGAUUACUAGGUGUUGGGGGUCGAACCUCAGCGCCCAAGCUAACGCGAUAAGUAAUCCGCCUGGGGAGUACGUACGCAAGUAUGAAACUCAAAGGAAUUGACGGGGACCCGCACAAGCGGUGGAGCAUGUGGUU